UACGUAGGGUGCAAGCGUUGCCCGGAAUUAUUGGGCGUAAAGGGCUCGUAGGCGGAUCCGCCAGUCUGACGUGAAAUCUCCACCGCUCACCGGGGAGGGGCCGUUGGAUACUACGGAUCUGGAGUUCGGCAGAGGACCAUGGAAUUUCGGGUGUAGCGGUGGAAUGCGUAGAUAUCCGAAAGAACACCGGUGGCGAAGGCGGUGGUCUGGGCCUGAACUGACGCUGAGGAGCGAAAGCCAGGGGAGCAAACGGG
Molecule: ribosomal RNA, 254 nt
Filed under: uncultured bacterium
Lineage: Bacteria
Description: partial 16S ribosomal RNA
Rfam family: Bacterial small subunit ribosomal RNA
Source: RNAcentral